GAAAUCAAAACUAUAAAAUAGUUUCACCAAAGAAAACUUUUUUAUAUUUGUUCUUUAUAAGAGGAUUUGGUUUUAACAAUGAUGAUUAUGUUCUUUGGGAGGGAUUUUAUACAUGGUUAACUCUUAACUGCAGAUGCCAAAUGAACUUUAAAAAUGGACUUAACUAAUUUAGGUACAAAUGUACUGAAGAAUAGUUUUAUAUUUUAUCCAAUUGUAGUAACUUAAUCACUAAGUUAUUAUUAGUAAUCACAAAUGAGUAACUUUAUUUUCUUCAGUGAUGUUCUCUUAAAUUCAUACAAAAACAUGACUAUUUUUAGAGAAACUGAUUACAACAACUAUAAAAACCGGAAUUCUGGCAAGAUUAUUUCUCAGUGUUGGGGUAAGUUUGUGUGUGUGUGUGUGUGUGUGUGUGUGUGUGUAGAGAGAGAGAAAGGCAAAGAGAUAAAGUGUGAACAGGUAGGUAAGAAAGCAGAGAGGAGGGGACUGUGUUUUAGUUUGAUCUUUUGAUCUUACUCUCAUUUUCUUUAUCUUUUUUGGUCAUUAUGGGGCACAGAAAAAGAAUACAGGGUUUUAGGAUCCUUGACCAAAAUUAUAAAUCAACCAAAUGCCAAAAAGGCAAUGUAGUAACACAGUAAGUUGCUAUUCAUAGCACCUUUUGCCAAGUGAUUUCAUAGCACUUUCAACAUUAAUACAACUAUUUUUGCUUUUGUAACCGGGAAAACUAGGGCAAAGAAAAUUUGAUAUCCAGUGAAUUAACCAUCAGAACAAGGGAACAGAAUGCAGGGCUAUGAGCCUGCUUUUUGUUUCAGUUCAUGCACAGUUUAGUCUCAGACAUAAACCUAGCUAAGAUUAACUUUUGAAUUUCAGCAGUUAAAAGUCACCAUUAACAAUUUUGUUUUCCCUUCAAAUAAAACAAAGUAAAACAAAAAAAGACUAAACAGAAUCGUUGUCAAUUCACUGGUGUGUUAUUGGUUUCAGCCAUGAAUGCCUUCAAUGGCAUCUACCUGGAGCUAAAACAAAGUAUUCUUGUAGCCCAAAGUCAUGAAAUGAAAACAAAGCAUCUUUUAUAACAUGGUGUGAAGUAAGUAUCCAGCAAACGUGAGAGGUGAACCCACAUAAAUCAGAAGGAAUUUGUUAACAAAGACAGAGAACAAAAUUUUUAAAAAUCUGUUUUCACAUUGUACAUAAUAAUGAUAUAAAAACAAGUGUCUAGUUUUUCCUUAUCCAGAGUGCUUAAAAACAAAACAAACAAAAACAAAAACAAAAAUUGGCUCUAGAUGACUGUGGCAAUUAAAUAACUGAGUGAUGAGAGCAUAAGUUAGUUAAGAUUGAACACAACCCUCCUAUGAAUUCACUCCUUUGUUUUAAACAUCAGAACAGAUAUUGUUGGGGCCAAAAUUCUUAAAAAGGAGAAAACUUAUGGAAGGAGAAGUAAAAUUGUGUGGGUAAAUGUGUGUGUGUGUAUGUGUGUAUGUAUGUGUAUAUAUAUAUAUGCACACACACAUAUAUAUACAUAUACAUACAUAUAUGAAUUGGAGAUGGAAAUUUGUUUUAAAUAUCUAACAGCUUAUUGGCUGCACUUCCAAAUCGGAGCAGAAUAAAAUAGAAGGGGAGAAAUAAAAUAAAUUAUACAUAACUUACUAAUCUGGGAACAGCUGACCAUUAUUAUUAUUACUAUUAUUAUUAUUUUAUCAUCAUCAUCAUUAUUACAACACUAGCAAAAAGAGGCAGUUCAAAUGAAAAUAAAGUCAUCAAAAACAGGAAAAACAAACAUAACGAAAUCUCUGACAUGCAGGAUAUGAUCAGCUCCUCCAAGCAAAACCCCAGAGCAAGUCUUUUGAGAGAGAGAAAAAUAAAAGAAAUUUUUUUUUAUUUAUAUGAAAAAUCCAACUUUAGGGUGGUGUUUAGUGGGGGUGGAAUAGGAAAAUGAUGACUGGAGUGAAAACUAUAGCACAUUGAGCUACUAGUUGCAGUAUUUACUAUCUGAUACUUCAAUACAAAUAAUGGCAAUUGACUUGAAAUGAUUUUGCAUUUAUUUGUACAGGCCCUACAACUGCCUUGGCAUUUGGCUGGCAAAAUCUACAUAAGCAGUCCCAUCACAUUCAGUUGUUGCUCUUCACAAAUACUCUGCUCAAACCAAAGAUGGACUUCAGUGGAUUCAUCUGACAGCAAGGGAAGAGCAGUGGCAAGGAUCCCUGGGUGCAGCCAGGCUCCAUUUUGUUGGGCUGCAAUGACUUUUAAUUAAAUACUACUUUUUAUGGCAUGAACUACACAUGGCCCACACUUCUGAAAUGCUAAAGGCCUCCACCUCAUUUCAUGGAGGGGUGAAAAAUACCUUAUAAAAUCAUCAGUUUCAUUUCCUGAUCAGGAAAGGAUGGAAUGUUGAAGAAAUAAGCUAAU
Long non-coding RNA from Sapajus apella (tufted capuchin), 2400 nucleotides. RefSeq lists it as uncharacterized. The transcript has 2 exons. The record is from RefSeq and is a predicted model, not a curated record. Lineage: Eukaryota; Metazoa; Chordata; Mammalia; Primates; Cebidae.